GAGGGGGGCUGCUCCUAGUACGAGAGGACCGGAGUGGACGCAUCUCUGGUGUACCGGUUGUGACGCCAGUCGCAUCGCCGGGUAGCUAUAUGCGGAAGAGAUAAACGCUGAAAGCAUCUAAGCGUGAAACUCGCCUCAAGAUGAGACUUCCCUGGAGACUUGAUCUCCCUGAAGGGCCGUGGAAGACCACCACGUUGAUAGGUCGGGUGUGGAAGCGCAGUAAUGCGUUAAGCUAACCGAUACUAAUUACCCGUGAGGCUUGAUCCU
Molecule: ribosomal RNA, 267 nt
Filed under: Laribacter hongkongensis
Lineage: Bacteria; Pseudomonadati; Pseudomonadota; Betaproteobacteria; Neisseriales; Aquaspirillaceae
Description: partial 23S ribosomal RNA
Rfam family: Bacterial large subunit ribosomal RNA
Source: RNAcentral